CGGGGAGGCAAUUCCAUAAAACCCAUCUCAGUUCGGAUUGCACUCUGCAACUCGAGUGCAUGAAGUUGGAAUAAAAAGUAAACACGGAUCAGCAUGUCGCGGUGAAUACGUUCCCGGGCCUUGUACACACCGCCCGUCACACCAUGGGAGUUUUUUUUACCAGAAGUAGAUGCGCUAACCGCAAGGAGGCCUUUUCCACGGUAGGAUUACACGACUGGGGUGAAGUCGUAACAAGGUAGCCGUAUCGGAAACCUGCUUACUGA
RNAcentral lists this ribosomal RNA (263 nucleotides) under Rhizobium leguminosarum. Its description in RNAcentral is "partial 16S ribosomal RNA". It matches the Rfam family "Bacterial small subunit ribosomal RNA", at positions 1261 to 1533 of the family's 1533-position model. Lineage: Bacteria; Pseudomonadati; Pseudomonadota; Alphaproteobacteria; Hyphomicrobiales; Rhizobiaceae. The record is from RNAcentral.